GAAGCUCCUUAUUGGCUAAACACAUUGAUUCAGGUCGUCAGGAGCAGAUAAGGCAGGAUUUCUGGAAAACCAGCAGGAGGCCGGGCCUCAAGGCCAGGAGUUUGACACCCCUGCCAUGGAG
This 121-nucleotide small nucleolar RNA is filed under the name Oryzias latipes (Japanese medaka). Lineage: Eukaryota; Metazoa; Chordata; Actinopteri; Beloniformes; Adrianichthyidae. The record is from RNAcentral.